CGAAGGGGGCUAGCGUUGCUCGGAAUUACUGGGCGUAAAGGGCGCGUAGGCGGCACUGUUAGUCAGGCGUGAAAUUCCUGGGCUCAACCUGGGGACUGCGCUUGAUACGGCAGAGCUAGAGGAUGGAAGAGGCUCGCGGAAUUCCCAGUGUAGAGGUGAAAUUCGUAGCUAUUGGGAAGAACACCGGUGGCGAAGGCGGCGAGCUGGUCCAUUACUGACGCUGAGGCGCGACAGCGUGGGGAGCAAACAGGAUUAGAUACCCUGGUAGUCCACGCCGUAAACGGUGUGCGCUGGAUGUUGGGUGGCCUAGCCACUCAGUGUCGUAGCUAACGCGGUAAGCGCACCGCCUGGGGAGUACGGCCGCAAGGUUG
Molecule: ribosomal RNA, 371 nt
Filed under: uncultured organism
Description: bacterial SSU rRNA
Rfam family: Bacterial small subunit ribosomal RNA
Source: RNAcentral